UGUUUUUAUUGAAAGGACAUAUAUAUACAAUCCCUCCUCCGUGACACCUGCAUGCCUAUUGUUAGUGUGUUUUUGUUGUUUCCCCCCCUUGCCUUCUCUCUUUCUCCCUCUCCCUGCUCACCCGGCCAUGAUCUGCAAUCAACACUCCUGCCCGUCACCUGCAAUCAACACUCCUGUCUGCCAAUCAAGCCUGCUCCUCUUCCCUACUAAAACCCUGCUCCGACAGCCGGUCUCCACCGGAUUGUUGUGCCAUCCGUGGAAAACCUGCCUGCCUUCCCUGUUUGUCAAGCCCGCCAGCCAGCUCUCAUUUCUGGACUGCCUCUGCCAAGCUUUCUCCCCUGGAUCCUGUUUCCCUCACCUCAGCCAGCCUCCAUCUCACCUUACUGAUCUCCUGUGUGGUCGUGGUAGCCAAGAUGGCUCUGUUGCUUCCCUGGCUGAGCUGCAGACUCAUGGAGAGGCCCGUCACCAGCUGGACGCCCAACUCUGUGAUGGUCACUUUGUCGUCCACCACUGUGACGGUCUUCUCUGCCAGGAUCGAGUCUGACAAUGGAGACAACACCUAGGAGGAGCAAAAGUGACAUUUCAGAUUACGUCUGUGACAUUAAAGGAAUUUUAAAAGGAAAAGAUGAAGAAUUAGAUUUUCUUCCACAACAUUCCCCUCGAAUACGUGAUUAUCGAGCAAUAACCUGUGACAUUCUGGUGUGAUCAAUUACGGCUGUGCUACUCCACAAUAGCGACUCAACCUAUUGUAUACCCUGUUCAUGAAAGCUUUUUCAUUUCCUGCUCUAAACACCCAGGGUUGGGGAGGUCUUUCCCAGGAGAAAUCAGCAGCGACAGCAACAGAGAAAAAGAGCACUACCUAAACUAAACUUCAUCAACAGAAAAUCCAAGCAGGAAUAAGUCAACGCUGGUCACGCCGCUUGAUUGACAAGGGAUUCCUGGCAGGUGGAACGCAAACACAUCCCAUCAAUGAGCACUUAGCAGUAAGAAUGUCGCGGACACGAAAAAAAAGCGGAUUACCACGAGUUAUAGGCUGUGUGGAUCAAACAACAACUGGACUUGGCUGCCAUCCAACCCCAACACCUCCUGUAGCUAAAACGUGGCCUACCUGGAUCGUGGUCAUCCCCAUGUCCAGUCCCACCAGUAUCCUCCUGUCCAGUAGCUGUGCAAUCUGGGGGUCCUCUACCUUCAGGAAGUCCCACACCAGCUCCGUGAUGUCCACUU
Long non-coding RNA from Sebastes umbrosus (honeycomb rockfish), 1224 nucleotides. RefSeq lists it as uncharacterized. The transcript has 5 exons. NCBI's taxonomy places the organism in Eukaryota, Metazoa, Chordata, Actinopteri, Perciformes, Sebastidae. The record is from RefSeq and is a predicted model, not a curated record.